Molecule: ribosomal RNA, 446 nt
Filed under: uncultured bacterium
Lineage: Bacteria
Description: bacterial SSU rRNA
Rfam family: Bacterial small subunit ribosomal RNA
Source: RNAcentral
CCCAGACUCCUACGGGAGGCAGCAGUGGGGGAUAUUGCACAAUGGGGGAAACCCUGAUGCAGCGACGCCGCGUGAGUGAAGAAGUAUUUCGGUAUGUAAAGCUCUAUCAGCAGGGAAGAAAAAAGACGGUACCUGACUAAGAAGCCCCGGCUAACUACGUGCCAGCAGCCGCGGUAAUACGUAGGGGGCAAGCGUUAUCCGGAUUUACUGGGUGUAAAGGGAGCGUAGACGGCAAUACAAGUCGGAAGUGAAAUACCCGGGCUCAACCUGGGAACUGCUUUGGAAACUGUAUGGCUGGAGUGCUGGAGAGGUAAGCGGAAUUCCUAGUGUAGCGGUGAAAUGCGUAGAUAUUAGGAGGAACACCAGUGGCGAAGGCGGCUUACUGGACGGUAACUGACGUUGAGGCUCGAAAGCGUGGGGAGCAAACAGGAUUAGAUACCCGCGUA